GACGAACGCUGGCGGCGUGCCUAAUACAUGCAAGUUGAGCGCUGAAGGUUGGUACUUGUACCAACUGGAUGAGCAGCGAACGGGUGAGUAACGCGUGGGGAAUCUGCCUUUGAGCGGGGGACAACAUUUGGAAACGAAUGCUAAUACCGCAUAAAAACUUUAAACACAAGUUUUAAGUUUGAAAGAUGCAAUUGCAUCACUCAAAGAUGAUCCCGCGUUGUAUUAGCUAGUUGGUGAGGUAAAGGCUCACCAAGGCGAUGAGACAUAGCCGACCUGAGAGGGUGAUCGGCCACAUUGGGACUGAGACCCGGCCCAAACUCCUACGGGAGGCAGCCGUAGUGAAUCUUCGGCAAUGGACGAAAGUCUGACCGAGCAACGCCGCGUGAGUGAAGAAGGUUUUCGGAUCGUAAAACUCUGUUGGUAGAGAAGAACGUUGGUGAGAGUGGAAAGCUCAUCAAGUGACGGUAACUACCCAGAAAGGGACGGCUAACUACGUG
Molecule: ribosomal RNA, 497 nt
Filed under: uncultured bacterium
Lineage: Bacteria
Description: partial 16S ribosomal RNA
Rfam family: Bacterial small subunit ribosomal RNA
Source: RNAcentral